GGGGGUGCACUGGCUUCGACGGGGGUCGCGAAAUCACUUGGCGCAUGCCGAGGGGGUAGCUUUCCUCGUUAAUCCAGCUGCAAAAACCUAGACGCGAACGACGACGUCUACGCUCUGGCCGCUUAAGGCCUAGCCCCGAACCCACUUGUGCCUGUGCUCGUGGAUGUAGGGUCAUCAUCACAGGAUCGGUUGGAGUGGCGACCCGUCAGCUUCGACUUAACCUAAAGCGGGUGUGUCCCUUGGUGUGCCUCGCACGUCGUGUUGCCAAGGGCCGAGAACGAACGGCGAGCUAAGCAUGUAGUGCCGGGGAUGGAGUGCCUUCGGACGGGGGUUCAAUUCCCCCCACCUCCACCA
Lysobacter dokdonensis DS-58 is the source of this 354-nucleotide non-coding RNA. It matches the Rfam family "transfer-messenger RNA". From Rfam's summary of the family: Bacterial tmRNA, also known as 10Sa RNA or SsrA, is named for its dual tRNA and mRNA-like properties. Its role is to liberate the mRNA from a stalled ribosome. The record is from Rfam. Lineage: Bacteria; Pseudomonadati; Pseudomonadota; Gammaproteobacteria; Lysobacterales; Lysobacteraceae.